GAGUGGACACGUCAGCCAUGUGUCCUGUUGGUUCCUGUGAGUAUGGUGUUGUAGAGGCGUGCGGCUGCAGAGAUUGCCGGGUCGAGCCGAGGUUGUCUGCUGAGAUGAAAGAUGGCACGGUGACGGCGCACGGGGACGAUCGCCCCGCAUGACACGCACAUGUGGCCGUCCGCUCUCUCAUUCGCUCCCGAAAUGGUCUCUGGCUCUGCUAAUUUACAUAAUACACUUCUGACACCUUUACUUCGUUCAUCAAUCACAGUAUCUUCUCCUGGUCCGGCUUUGGUACGGCAUGUCGCAUCUCCAUCAGGCACAAAAGAUUCAUUUCACAGUUUUUUUUCUUUUCUUUUUCUCCAUUGCUUUUUUUCUCACCCUACCCUUUUCUUUUCUCUCUUUCAUUUCAAAGAUACAAAGCUUAUGAAAUGACAGAAGCCAGAUAAUGAAAACAACAAUGCAAGCAAUUUUUACUCCCGCCGUGGUUCACAUUCCUGGAUUUUCUCUCCUGUUUUAUUUUUUUCUUCUAUUCUGUACUUCUUUCUUCUUGUUCUCUCUCUCUUUCCUGUCCUCCCUUCCUCCCCUUUAUUGUACUUCUACCAUCUGUCUGGAGUUCACACUCCUCUCCUCUUCUUUCCUCUGUAUCCUCUUCACAAUGCCUGGUCCACCUAGCAAAUUCCAUCUCCAUCCCUCGGUACCAGCUGUCAUACAAACCAACUGCUCCUCUACAUAUGCUUACAAUCCCUAAACUCAAUUUGGUGUCUAGCUCCUCUUUUAUACUGCUGUGUCUGCUGUCUAAUGUUUGCUAUAAUAAUAGCUUUUCCCCCCCAAAACAGCUCCUUUGAAAACAAAAUAAUUAACAUAUUUUCUGUUGAUCUGGUUGCAAUAUAUUCCACUUUCAUAUGACCCAAGAAGCUAUUAUGAUUAUAAUAGAGGCCAUUAAAAUAAUAAAAAAAACACAUGCAUCACUACCUCCCCCGCAGUAUCUUAUUUGUCUGUCAAAGUUGUUCAUAAAGCAACACACAAGAAUCAGGUUUGAUAAAACACUCAUGCAGUAUUUGUAAUUGUAUUUUAAAUCAUGUAUGUCUAUUAAAUCAUUGUGUUUGUUUAGAACAUGAAAAUAACUCAAAA
This is a long non-coding RNA of Salvelinus fontinalis (brook trout), 1122 nucleotides long. RefSeq lists it as uncharacterized. The record is from RefSeq and is a predicted model, not a curated record. The transcript has 2 exons. Lineage: Eukaryota; Metazoa; Chordata; Actinopteri; Salmoniformes; Salmonidae.